GACGAACGCUGGCGGCGUGCCUAAUACAUGCAAGUUGAGCGAUGAAGAUUGGUGCUUGCACCAAUUUGAAGAGCAGCGAACGGGUGAGUAACGCGUGGGGAAUCUGCCUUUGAGCGGGGGACAACAUUUGGAAACGAAUGCUAAUACCGCAUAACAACUUUAAACAUAAGUUUUAAGUUUGAAAGAUGCAAUUGCAUCACUCAAAGAUGAUCCCGCGUUGUAUUAGCUAGUUGGUGAGGUAAAGGCUCACCAAGGCGAUGAUACAUAGCCGACCUGAGAGGGUGAUCGGCCACAUUGGGACUGGGACACGGCCCAAGCUCCUACGGGAGGCAGCAGUAGGGAAUCUUCGGCCAUGGACGAAAGUCUGACCGAGCAACGCCGCGUGAGUGAAGAAGGUUUUCGGAUCGUAAAACUCUGUUGGUAGAGAAGAACGUUGGUGAGAGUGGAAAGCUCAUCAAGUGACGGUAACUACCCAGAAAGGGACGGCUAACUACGUG
RNAcentral lists this ribosomal RNA (497 nucleotides) under uncultured bacterium. Its description in RNAcentral is "partial 16S ribosomal RNA". It matches the Rfam family "Bacterial small subunit ribosomal RNA", at positions 28 to 507 of the family's 1533-position model. The record is from RNAcentral.